GAAGGCUAUGUUGGCCGGGCGACGGUUGUCCCGGUUUAAGCGUGUAGGCUGGUUUUCCAGGCAAAUCCGGAAAAUCAAGGCUGAGGCGUGAUGACGAGGCACUACGGUGCUGAAGCAACAAAUGCCCUGCUUCCAGGAAAAGCCUCUAAGCAUCAGGUAACAUCAAAUCGUACCCCAAACCGACACAGGUGGUCAGGUAGAGAAUACCAAGGCGCUUGAGAGAACUCGGGUGAAGGAACUAGGCAAAAUGGUGCCGUAACUUCGGGAGAAGGCACGCUGAUAUGUAGGUGAAGUCCCUUGCGGAUGGAGCUGAAAUCAGUCGAAGAUACCAGCUGGCUGCAACUGUUUAUUAAAAACACAGCACUGUGCAAACACGAAAGUGGACGUAUACGGUGUGACGCCUGCCCGGUGCCGGAAGGUUAAUUGAUGGGGUCAGCGCAAGCGAAGCUCUUGAUCGAAGCCCCGGUAAACGGCGGCCGUAACUAUAACGGUCCUAAGGUAGCGAAAUUCCUUGUCGGGUAAGUUCCGACCUGCACGAAUGGCGUAAUGAUGGCCAGGCUGUCUCCACCCGAGACUCAGUGAAAUUGAACUCGCUGUGAAGAUGCAGUGUACCCGCGGCAAGACGGAAAGACCCCGUGAACCUUUACUAUAGCUUGACACUGAACAUUGAGCCUUGAUGUGUAGGAUAGGUGGGAGGCUUUGAAGUGUGGACGCCAGUCUGCAUGGAGCCGGCCUUGAAAUACCACCCUUUAAUGUUUGAUGUUUUAACGUGGACCCGUGAUCCGGGUUGCGGACAGUGUCUGGUGGGUAGUUUGACUGGGGCGGUCUCCUCCUAAAGAGUAACGGAGGAGCACGAAGGUUGGCUAAUCCUGGUCGGACAUCAGGAGGUUAGUGCAAUGGCAUAAGCCAGCUUGACUGCGAGCGUGACGGCGCGAGCAGGUGCGAAAGCAGGUCAUAGUGAUCCGGUGGUUCUGAAUGGAAGGGCCAUCGCUCAACGGAUAAAAGGUACUCCGGGGAUAACAGGCUGAUACCGCCCAAGAGUUCAUAUCGACGGCGGUGUUUGGCACCUCGAUGUCGGCUCAUCACAUCCUGGGGCUGAAGUAGGUCCCAAGGGUAUGGCUGUUCGCCAUUUAAAGUGGUACGCGAGCUGGGUUUAGAACGUCGUGAGACAGUUCGGUCCCUAUCUGCCGUGGGCGCUGGAGAACUGAGGGGGGCUGCUCCUAGUACGAGAGGACCGGAGUGGACGCAUCACUGGUGUUCGGGUUGUCAUGCCAAUGGCACUGCCCGGUAGCUAAAUGCGGAAGAGAUAAGUGCUGAAAGCAUCUAAGCACGAAACUUGCCCCGAGAUGAGUUCUCCCUGACCCUUUAAGGGUCCUGAAGGAACGUUGAAGACGACGACGUUGAUAGGCCGGGUGUGUAAGCGCAGCGAUGCGUUGAGCUAACCGGUACUAAUGAACCGUGAGG
Molecule: ribosomal RNA, 1464 nt
Filed under: Shigella sonnei
Lineage: Bacteria; Pseudomonadati; Pseudomonadota; Gammaproteobacteria; Enterobacterales; Enterobacteriaceae
Description: partial 23S ribosomal RNA
Rfam family: Bacterial large subunit ribosomal RNA
Source: RNAcentral